RNAcentral lists this ribosomal RNA (465 nucleotides) under Vreelandella stevensii. RNAcentral's name for it is "partial 16S ribosomal RNA". It matches the Rfam family "Bacterial small subunit ribosomal RNA", at positions 338 to 795 of the family's 1533-position model. Lineage: Bacteria; Pseudomonadati; Pseudomonadota; Gammaproteobacteria; Oceanospirillales; Halomonadaceae. The record is from RNAcentral.
CCUACGGGAGGCAGCAGUGGGGAAUAUUGGACAAUGGGCGAAAGCCUGAUCCAGCCAUGCCGCGUGUGUGAAGAAGGCCUUCGGGUUGUAAAGCACUUUCAGUGGGGAAGAAAGCCUUGGGGCUAAUACCCUCGAGGAAGGACAUCACCCACAGAAGAAGCACCGGCUAACUCCGUGCCAGCAGCCGCGGUAAUACGGAGGGUGCGAGCGUUAAUCGGAAUUACUGGGCGUAAAGCGCGCGUAGGCGGUCUGAUAAGCCGGUUGUGAAAGCCCCGGGCUCAACCUGGGAACGGCAUCCGGAACUGUCAGGCUAGAGUGCAGGAGAGGAAGGUAGAAUUCCCGGUGUAGCGGUGAAAUGCGUAGAGAUCGGGAGGAAUACCAGUGGCGAAGGCGGCCUUCUGGACUGACACUGACGCUGAGGUGCGAAAGCGUGGGUAGCAAACAGGAUUAGAUUCCCUGGUAGUC